CGCGGUGUGGCUGUCAGCUGGGAGGGAUCCCUCCGCCCAUGUAAACAUCAUAAAGGGCAAGGGGAGCGUCUGUUGUGGGCGGGGGAGCGGCUGCCUUCCCGGAGAGUCCUCUCGGUCCCUAGGUUCCCCUCAAGACGCCGGCAACCGCCCCGUCCCUUAACGUCACACCGGGUCUGCUGGGAGCCAAACAGCUGCGGCCUGAUCUGGGAGCGAUAGAAUCUCAUCACUUAGGGUCACUACCGGAAAUGGAGGAAGCCGGACUGGGAGACCUUGAGAGUUGGGAGCGAGAGGGAAUCGUAGGACGCAGCUGAGAAUUGGGAAAGAUUUUCUUAGGCUUGUUCUUCCUGUCCAUCUCAGUUAAAUAAUAAUCAUAACUCAUGUAAGUCUAGAAUUUGUCUCAAAGUUAUGCCUACCUGGCUCGUAGGAUGCCAACGUUAGGAGUGAAAAUAGUCAACGCUCUCCCGAGAGAGCACAUGACACUACAUGAGCUUCAUCAAGACCCUCGGAGGCCCAGAAUGCGCACCAAAGAGCCAUCGACGAUAAUUCUUCUACCCAACUUUUAUUUAGUAUUAUUAAAUAUUCAGUAAAGUUAAAAGAAAUUUGCAUCAAAUUCCUCUAUACCCACUACCUAGAUUCUAUUAUAACUUGCCACAUCGCAUAUCUAUCUUGCACUGAUAAUUCUUUUAAUAGUGUAUUAGCUGUCCCCUGGGCUUGACUCUCCAUUGCAGUAGGGAGCAGGAAAAGACUCCAGGUCCCAAAGCCCUGGAGAGCUAAGAAAAGGAAUACGUUCUCCCAGGACCACUGUGAACUCUUUCCUGGGCCCGGUACCUCUGGGAAAAAUUUGUUGAAGGGAAGGCGGUUUUCUUCUCCCCCCACGCCCAUCCCCCCUUUUAAUUGAAGACUUCUUAAGCAUAAGAGAUUUCCUUCCACUAGGUGAAUCUGAAAGCGAACUAAGAUCUUGACAAACAUUCCUUGCAUACGUUUGGCAGCUUUCUGGAUGAAAGAGGUCAUUUCAAUGUUGACGUUCUACUUUUUGAGCUUCCUCCUUUUUUCUGAGGCUGCUGGACACUACCCCCCCACCCCCGUCCCCCGUCUCCCGCCAAAAGAAAAAAGGCGCCUCAAAAGUGUUCGUAUCUCUUAAAGUUCGUUAACCUCUUUGCCUCCGUUGCCUGCUCUGCAAAAUGAGGAUAAUAUCGUACCUACUCAAUAUGGUGGUUGUGAAGACUCAGUGAGCUAAUACAUGCAGAGCGUUUAGAGCAGUGCUUUAC
Molecule: long non-coding RNA, 1268 nt
Filed under: Homo sapiens (human)
Lineage: Eukaryota; Metazoa; Chordata; Mammalia; Primates; Hominidae
Description: HSALNT0020120
Source: RNAcentral